GUCAGCUCGUGUCGUGAGAUGUUGGGUUAAGUCCCGCAACGAGCGCAACCCUUGAUCUUAGUUGCCAGCAGGUAAGGCUGGGCACUCUAAGGUGACUGCCGGUGACAAACCGGAGGAAGGUGGGGAUGACGUCAAAUCAUCAUGCCCCUUAUGACCUGGGCUACACACGUACUACAAUGGCCGGUACAACGGGCCGCGAAGCCGCGAGGUGGAGCCAAUCCUAGAAAGCCGGUCUCAGUUCGGAUUGCAGGCUGCAACUCGCCUGCAUGAAGUCGGAAUUGCUAGUAAUCGCGGAUCAGCAUGCCGCGGU
Molecule: ribosomal RNA, 310 nt
Filed under: Paenibacillus sp. Expt2_482H2_P13WS_G06
Lineage: Bacteria; Bacillati; Bacillota; Bacilli; Caryophanales; Paenibacillaceae
Description: bacterial SSU rRNA
Rfam family: Bacterial small subunit ribosomal RNA
Source: RNAcentral